CACCAGCUUCCCUGGCUCGAUGAAGUGUUGUAGUCCUCGUCCCUGUAUCCGUAUUCUGGUGCCAUGUGCACCUUGCCACUCGCCCCGUCGCGUGCCCCGCAGGGCUAUGUAUAGUCUUGCAACACCAGCUUCCCUGGCUCGGUGAAGUGUUGUAGUCCUCGUCCCCGUAUCCGUAUUCUGGUGCCAUGUGCACCUUGCCACUCGCCCCGUCGCGUGCCCCGCAGGGCUAUGUAUAGUCUUGCAACACCAGCUUCUCUGGCUCGAUGAAGUAUUGUAUUCCUCCUUGUAAAAGUAAAUGCAAUUGGGUGGGAUAAAGAGUUGUAGUCCUCGUCCCCGUAUCCGUAUUCCGGGGCUAUCUGUACUAGCCCCGUUCGCCCACUCGCAUGCUCCGCAGGGCUAUGUAUAGUCAUGUAACCCCAGCUCUGCUGUCUCGGUGAAGUCUAG
Rhipicephalus sanguineus (brown dog tick) is the source of this 444-nucleotide long non-coding RNA. RefSeq lists it as uncharacterized. NCBI's taxonomy places the organism in Eukaryota, Metazoa, Arthropoda, Arachnida, Ixodida, Ixodidae. The transcript is spliced from 4 exons. The record is from RefSeq and is a predicted model, not a curated record.